UACAGAGGUGGCAAGCGUUGUUCGGAAUUACUGGGCGUAAAGGGUGUGUAGGCGGUUGUUUAAGUUUGGUGUGAAAUCUCCCGGCUCAACUGGGAGGGUGCGCCGAAUACUGAAUGACUAGAGUGCGGGAGAGGAAAGUGGAAUUCCUGGUGUAGCGGUGAAAUGCGUAGAUAUCAGGAGGAACACCGGUGGUGUAGACGGCUUUCUGGACCGUAACUGACGCUGAGACACGAAAGCGUGGGUAGCAAACAGG
RNAcentral lists this ribosomal RNA (253 nucleotides) under uncultured bacterium. RNAcentral's name for it is "partial 16S ribosomal RNA". It matches the Rfam family "Bacterial small subunit ribosomal RNA", at positions 524 to 776 of the family's 1533-position model. The record is from RNAcentral.